GGGGAUUUAGCUCAGUGGUAGAGCGCAUGCCUAGCAAGCACAAGGCCCUGGGUUCGGUCCCCAGCUCCA
RNAcentral lists this transfer RNA (69 nucleotides) under Rattus norvegicus (Norway rat). It matches the Rfam family "tRNA". Rfam says of the family: Transfer RNA (tRNA) molecules are approximately 80 nucleotides in length. Their secondary structure includes four short double-helical elements and three loops (D, anti-codon, and T loops). The record is from Rfam by way of RNAcentral. Lineage: Eukaryota; Metazoa; Chordata; Mammalia; Rodentia; Muridae.